RNAcentral lists this ribosomal RNA (444 nucleotides) under uncultured bacterium. RNAcentral's name for it is "partial 16S ribosomal RNA". It matches the Rfam family "Bacterial small subunit ribosomal RNA", at positions 338 to 795 of the family's 1533-position model. The record is from RNAcentral.
CCUACGGGUGGCAGCAGUGGGGAAUAUUGGGCAAUGGGCGCAAGCCUGACCCAGCAACGCCGCGUGAAGGAAGAAGGCUUUCGGGUUGUAAACUUCUUUUCUCAGGGACGAAGAAAGUGACGGUACCUGAGGAAUAAGCCACGGCUAACUACGUGCCAGCAGCCGCGGUAAUACGUAGGUGGCAAGCGUUAUCCGGAUAUACUGGGUGUAAAGGGCGUGUAGGCGGGAAAGCAAGUCAGAUGUGAAAUGCCCCCGCUCAACGGGGUGAAGUGCCAUUGAUACUGCCUUGCUGGAAUGCGGAUGCGGUGGGAGGAAUGUGUGGUGUAGCGGUGAAAUGCAUAGAUAUCACACAGAACACCGAUUGCGAAGGCAUCUCACGAAUCCGCGAUUGACGCUGAUGCACGAAAGCGUGGGUAUCAAACAGGAUUAGAUACCCCUGUAGUC